GGUGCCUUCGGGAACUCUGACACAGGUGCUGCAUGGCUGUCGUCAGCUCGUGUCGUGAGAUGUUGGGUUAAGUCCCGUAACGAGCGCAACCCUUGUCCUUAGUUACCAGCACGUUAUGGUGGGCACUCUAAGGAGACUGCCGGUGACAACCGGAGGAAGGUGGGGAUGACGUCAAGUCAUCCAUGGCCCUUACGGCCUGGGCUACACACGUGCUACAAUGGUCGGUACAAAGGGUUGCCAAGCCGCGAGGUGGAGCUAAUCCCAUAAAACCGAUCGUAGUCCGGAUCGCAGUCUGCAACUCGACUGCGUGAAGUCGGAAUCGCUAGUAAUCGUGAAUCAGAAUGUCACGGUGAAUACGUUCCCGGGCCUU
RNAcentral lists this ribosomal RNA (370 nucleotides) under uncultured Pseudomonas sp. Its description in RNAcentral is "bacterial SSU rRNA". It matches the Rfam family "Bacterial small subunit ribosomal RNA", at positions 1013 to 1382 of the family's 1533-position model. Lineage: Bacteria; Pseudomonadati; Pseudomonadota; Gammaproteobacteria; Pseudomonadales; Pseudomonadaceae. The record is from RNAcentral.